This 84-nucleotide transfer RNA is filed under the name Agave sp. JLZ-2011. RNAcentral's name for it is "tRNA-Tyr". The record is from RNAcentral. Lineage: Eukaryota; Viridiplantae; Streptophyta; Magnoliopsida; Asparagales; Asparagaceae.
GAAUUUACAGUCCGUCCCCAUUAACCGCUCGGGCAUCGACCCAGGAAGAAUUCAUUCUAGGCUUAUUGAUAAUCCAUGAUCAAC